Oncorhynchus keta (chum salmon) is the source of this 786-nucleotide long non-coding RNA. RefSeq lists it as uncharacterized. The transcript has 5 exons. The record is from RefSeq and is a predicted model, not a curated record. Lineage: Eukaryota; Metazoa; Chordata; Actinopteri; Salmoniformes; Salmonidae.
UCUCUCACUGUAGCUUGGCCCCUGGUAUAUCAUCUCUCACUGUAGCUUGGCCCCCGGUAUAUCAUCUCUCACUGUAGCUUGGCCCCCGGUAUAUCAUCUCUCACUGUAGCUUGGCCCCCGGUAUAUCAUCUCUCACUGUAGGUAGCUUGGCCCCCGGUAUAUCAUCUCUCACUGUAGGUAGCUUGGCCCCCGGUAUAUCAUCUCUCACUGUAGCUUGGCCCCCGGUAUAUCAUCUCUCACUGUAGCUUGGCCCCCGGUAUAUCAUCUCUCACUGUAGCUUGGCCCCCGGUAUAUCAUCUCUCACUGUAGCUUGGCCCCCGGUAUAUCAUCUCUCACUGUAGCUUGGCCCCCGGUAUAUCAUCUCUCACUGUAGGUAGCUUGGCCCCCGGUAUAUCAUCUCUCACUGUAGGUAGCUUGGCCCCCGGUAUAUCAUCUCUCACUGUAGGUAGCUUGGCCCCCGGUAUAUCAUCUCUCACUGUAGGUAGCUUGGCCCCCGGUAUAUCAUCUCUCACUGUAGGUAGCUUGGCCCCCGGUAUAUCAUCUCUCACUGUAGGUAGCUUGGCCCCCGGUAUAUCAUCUCUCACUGUAGGUAGCUUGGCCCCUGGUAUAUCAUCUCUCACUGUAGCUUGGCCCCCAGUAUAUCAUCUCUCACUGUAGCUUGGCCCCCGGUAUAUCAUCUCUCACUGUAGCUUGGCCCCUGGUAUAUCAUCUCUCACUGUAGCUUGGCCCCUGGUAUAGCAUCUCUCACUGUAGCUUGGCCCCUGGUAUAUCAUCUCUCACUGUAGC